Ziziphus jujuba (common jujube) is the source of this 360-nucleotide long non-coding RNA. RefSeq lists it as uncharacterized. NCBI's taxonomy places the organism in Eukaryota, Viridiplantae, Streptophyta, Magnoliopsida, Rosales, Rhamnaceae. The transcript has 3 exons. The record is from RefSeq and is a predicted model, not a curated record.
CCUAUCUUACUCGAUUUGGAAGGCUUUGAUUUGUUAAAAGUGAACCUCAGAUUUGCAAGGACCUAGGCUGUUCAGUGCAGAAGAUCGAAGGAGCUUGCUGGACAUCUACAUCUCUCAGACAAAGAAACACGGUCGGUUUUCUUGGACCCUACUGAGUACAAAUUGGAGAGUUCUGCCGCAAUUUAUUAGCAGCUUAUAGGCAAGGAUUUUGGUUUGGAGGACUUGUUAGAGAAUGUUUUGUGAUGGAUGUUCUAUUUUCUGGCAGUACCAAAUGUUCAUGUUAUUGCUUGAUUUAGUUUUUAUAUUUUUGAGAUAAUAUUGUCCUCUCAAUUCGAGUGUUCAAAUCCACUUUAUUAGUUU